Molecule: ribosomal RNA, 253 nt
Filed under: uncultured bacterium
Lineage: Bacteria
Description: partial 16S ribosomal RNA
Rfam family: Bacterial small subunit ribosomal RNA
Source: RNAcentral
UACGUAGGAGGCAAGCGUUGUCCGGAAUUAUUGGGCGUAAAGAGCUCGUAGGCGGUUUGUCGCGUCGAAUGUGAAAACCCGGGGCUCAACCCCGGGCCUGCAUUCGAUACGGGCAGGCUAGAGUUCGGUAGGGGAGACUGGAAUUCCUGGUGUAGCGGUGAAAUGCGCAGAUAUCAGGAGGAACACCGGUGGCGAAGGCGGGUCUCUGGGCCGAUACUGACGCUGAGGAGCGAAAGCGUGGGGAGCGAACAGG